AUAAGGUCCUUGUCAUACAUAUCAUACACAUAACACACAUAUUUGAGCACACACCAAAAAGAUGGGUGUUAAGUUGUAUUAAAAACAAAAGGUUUAAAAAAGAAUAACAGUGUGAAGUCAGUGCAGGACAAUUUAUGACUAAUAUCAGGAAGUCCUUGUUAACAAUACCAUCUAUUAUUAGAUGAAAAUAGCCUCCCCAGGGACAUCAGGGAGGCACUAUGACUUGAGACAUUUUGGCCUAGACAAAGUACUGGUAAGCACAGGAGAGAAAUAAAGCACUAUCUUGGGCUCAUGAAAUUGGGCCUGCAUCAGGCUCUGUGCUUAGAGGGGAGUCUGCUUGAGAUUUUCUCUCUCCCUCUGCCUCUUUACCCACCACCCCAUCUUUAAAAAAAAGUACAGAGAUUAUGGCAUGUCAGCUUCUGUGACUUCCCCCACCUGUGUGUUCCGCAUCCCAGUCGCCAGACCUAGGAAGUGACAUCCCAUCUUAUGCACUAAUCAGACUCUACCUACAGGGUCAGGUGUACUUCAGGGUAUCACAGUGUGAGAGGGUGUUUGAGGAAUGGAUUGUGUCCAGAAGUGAGGUGAAAUUACCUCACACUGGGAUGGGUGGAAGACCCAAGAGCGUUUAGAAAGAGGGUGGUCAUGAGAAGCAAAACUGUGCUCACUCGGGAUGACUUGAGAGGACAGUGUCAGGACAAGUGGAAUGAGCAACAAAGGGCAAGUAUUGGUUCAACCCAAAGAAGAUAUUUCCAGUGGUCUCAGUUGACAACCGUGGGAUGGAUUGAUAAUGAGCCACCUGUCACUGCAAGUGUUCGAUCAGAGGCAGAACAGUUUUUUUCUCCUGUAUGGCACAAGUCGGGAUUCACACAUGGGAUGAGUGACCAGUGGUUUCUGUUCUCCCAAGCUUUGAGUCUUGAGAAAAGCAGCCAGCUGGCUAGCCAGACAGGAGACGCCAUUGCCAGCAGAGGGCGCUCUUACAGGCGAACAAGGAGCUGGAGGCCUGGGCACUGGCUGGUGGUGCCAGGGGAAGUGAGCGAUGGGAUCCAGAGUGAAGGAUGGCUGGGGCCUGAUCACCGGGCAGCCAGCCGCCCCCAAGCAAGCAGCACCACAGCGUCAUGCGUACCUGCCCAACCUGCAUGGUUGUUUAUGUUCCACCCUUAA
Molecule: long non-coding RNA, 1161 nt
Filed under: Vulpes vulpes (red fox)
Lineage: Eukaryota; Metazoa; Chordata; Mammalia; Carnivora; Canidae
Description: lncRNA (ENSVVUG00000021239.1)
Source: RNAcentral